CUCUCGAGUCCAUCUUCCCCUCCCAUGAAUCCCAUGCUCCGCCAAGCAGGCAAGGUCGCCGCCGCUUCUGCUCUUUGGCGUCCGCGCAACGCCAGCACCACUCCAAAAUUCGCGUUGCGCAAAAUUAAGCAUACCGUACCCUAGCUCUUCCCCUCCCAUGAAUCCCAUGCGCCGCCAAGCCCUUCCCUACCCUGCGCCCCUCCUCUGCCGCGCAACCCGUCGCCACCACACCCAACUCCGGUGAAUCGAGCCGCCUCAGUCAGAUUCCUUGCUCCCGAAGCACCAGCUCACCUCUCGAAAUCCGUUCAGAUGACCGGUUGCUCAAUGCGUCUACCACAAUUCUUCAAUUUUGGUGUCCAAUUCGACUCUUCGGACCUUUGUCUGAAGAUCGUGUCCCCGUCGGUAUGCUACUGUCAAAUGUAUUCCUUCUUUCAUCUCAUAUACGUCUUAGACAUGACCGUACGCCUAAUUAUAUGUGUUUGCUGAGCGUUCGCGAAUCCAUGCUGGCAUCCAUGGACAUGGCCAUGGCAUUCUCAAGUUCGGGUGAAAUCAUCAGUCUCACAAUGUCCAACUGGUCCAAGAGUCCAUAAUAGAAGACGGACAAUUUUGCUGAGCUGAGCUCUUUUCCUCAGUUAAAGGUGACGACUAGAGUGCAUGUUUGCUGGAGUAUUAUGCAGCUUCAGUUGGACAAUAUUAGAUGAUGCGUGGAACAAAUAAAAAAUAACAAAAUAAGAAGCUAAAUACGUCAUCUUGCAAGUAUAUGAUUCUGGCAAAAGUAUUGCUUGACUGUUUUAGUUUGUCAAACAAACAACUGGACAACAAUUUGGAGUUACUCAACUGUUUCAGUUUGUCAAAAAACAAACAACUGGACAGCUCUCGGAACUACAAUCUUCAGAGAUGCAGAAAAUAGUAACCUAGGCAAAAUAAUGGCCUGCACCAUAUCAAGCAACGGUUGAUGGAGCUUCACCACUAGUUGCCUUUUAAGCUGUCCAUAUAGAUCGGGGGUGAAGAAUCUGAAGUUGCAAGCAAUAAGGAGUACCGGCUGCACCUCAAGAAGAAUGUGGAAAAUGAUGCGAGUUAGGCUCAUUUGAAGGAGUUGUUAUCAGGUAAAGGUUCUAGGAACUAGUGGCUGGGAGAUGGUACUUGCAUUUGGUGGGUUGGAUAUGGAAAUCUUUUGUUUGCUGGGAGUUGAUUCGUGAUAAACUAUAGUGUGCUGGAAGAUAGUUCAUACAUGUGAUAGUUGAUAUGUAUAAACUUCUUGGUGCUAUGUUAUACUGGAGCAGUAUAUUGUACUGUGCUGAAUAAAAUGUAUUGGGCUGAAUGUAUGAGGUAUUGUGCUGAAUGAAGUGUAUUGGACUGAAUGUAUGCUGCAUUGUGCUGAA
This is a long non-coding RNA of Brachypodium distachyon (stiff brome), 1382 nucleotides long. RefSeq lists it as uncharacterized. The record is from RefSeq and is a predicted model, not a curated record. Lineage: Eukaryota; Viridiplantae; Streptophyta; Magnoliopsida; Poales; Poaceae. The transcript is spliced from 2 exons.